Molecule: ribosomal RNA, 887 nt
Filed under: uncultured eukaryote
Lineage: Eukaryota
Description: SSU rRNA
Rfam family: Eukaryotic small subunit ribosomal RNA
Source: RNAcentral
GCCAGCAGCCGCGGUAAUUCCAGCUCCAAUAGCGUAUACUAAAGUUGUUGCGGUUAAAAAGCUCGUAGUUGGAUCUUGGAAUGUGUUCAAGCGGGUCAGCUUCUGGCUGUGCGCUGCUUGACGUGUUCUUCUAUUUGGUUUUGGUGCGGUGCGCUUAACUGCGUGUCGCUCCCGGCCGAAACGUUUACCUUGAAAAAAUUAGAGUGUUCAAAGCAGACCUGUUUGAGUCUGAAUAUUCGUGCAUGGAAUAAUGAAAUAUGAAUUCGGUUCUAUUUUGUUGGUUUUCGGAACUCGAGUUAAUGAUCAAGAGGGACAGACGGGGGCAUUCGUACUCUGCCGUUAGAGGUGAAAUUCUUGGAUCGGCGGAAGACGCGCAACUGCGAAAGCAUUUGCCAAGAAUGUUUUCUUUAAUCAAGAACGAUAGUCGGAGGUUCGAAGACGAUCAGAUACCGUCCUAGUUUCGACUGUAAACUAUGCCAGCUAACGAUCAGACAGAGUUCUCUACGACUUGUCUGGCAGUUUCCGGGAAACCAAAGCGUUUGGGUUCCGGGGGAAGUAUGGUUGCAAAGCUGAAACUUAAAGGAAUUGACGGAAGGGCACCACCAGGAGUGGAGCCUGCGGCUUAAUUUGACUCAACACGGGGAAACUCACCCGGCCCGGACACAGUGAGGAUUGACAGAUUGAGAGUUCUUUCUUGAUUCUGUGGGUGGUGGUGCAUGGCCGUUCUUAGUUGGUGGAGCGAUUUGUCUGGUUAAUUCCGAUAACGAACGAGACUCUGGCAUGUUAAAUAGUCGCGGAAGUGCGUAUGCACUUGCCGAAUUGGCUUCUUAGAGGGACUAGUGAUUUUAAUUCACACGAGAUUGAGCAAUAACAGGUCUGUGAUGCCC